GAUGAACGCUGGCGGCGUGCUUAACACAUGCAAGUCGAACGAGAAGUGAAGACGGAUACCUUCGGGCGGAAGGCUUUAUAUCGAGUGGCGGACGGGUGAGUAACGCGCGGGUAACCUGCCUCAUACAGGGGGAUACCAGUUGGAAACGACUGUUAAUACCGCAUCAGACCACAGCAUCGCAUGGUGCGGUGGUAAAAACUCCGGUGGUAUGAGAUGGACCCGCGUUCGAUUAGCCAGUUGGCGGGGUAACGGCCCACCAAAGCGACGAUCGAUAGCCGAUCUGAGAGGAUGACCGGCCACAUUGGGACUGAGACACGGCCCAAACUCCUACGGGAUGCAGCAGUGGGGAAUAGUGCACAAUGGGGGAAACCCUGAUGCAGCGACGCCGCGUGAGUGAAGAAGUAUUGCGGUAUGUAAAGCUCUAUCAGCAGGGAAGAAAAUGACGGUACCUGAGUAAGAAGCCCCGGCUAACUACGUG
RNAcentral lists this ribosomal RNA (478 nucleotides) under uncultured bacterium. RNAcentral describes it as "partial 16S ribosomal RNA". It matches the Rfam family "Bacterial small subunit ribosomal RNA", at positions 28 to 507 of the family's 1533-position model. The record is from RNAcentral.